CAAUAUUUCAACAAAAAACUAACAGAAUAUGGAUCAGAUUCGGACAACGACUUCUUAAGACAUUCACACAACAGGCUAAACAAUUCAAAGAGGGAUCUCUGGAUGAUCGAGCAGCAAGUCCAGCAUUAUGUGGGAAAGAUACUACAGGUGUACACAGAAAAGGCCAUGUUCAUGUACAAGACACGGUUGGAGUUCAUAAAAGAUUAAGCUGCCUCGUGCUAUACAGACGUGGAUAAAAACAAGCUGUCCAAUGAAUGGUGACUACUCAAGAGGAGCCAGAAAGUCAACUAAGGCCAGGGUAUUUUGGGAGUUGAUAUGGCCGGGGAAGGGGGGGAGGGGGGGGGGGUUCCAGGGCCCCCCUCCCUUGAGAUCUCGACCGCACAAUCGCGUCUAACAUUGGCACAUGGGUUGUCUAGGGCAUAAUUUACAAAAUUAAAUUGUAAAUUAUUUCACGCAAAUUGUUAUUAAGUGAUAAUACUAAUUUAUGCGUAAUUAGAAUACAAAAUCAUACUUUUUCCUUUAUUGCAUUGACUUUGUACACAAAAUCACGUUUUUGAGCAAUUUUUGGUAUGACAUGUACUUACAUAAUGUCACGUUAUUACAGAACCACGUACCGGGUGACACAAGAUUGGUCUCAAAAGAUGCACAAGACUAGAAAGAGGCAUGUUUAAAAAAAAUUGUGCGACAGCAUGGUCGCAAAAUUUUUGGAAGGGGGGGGGGGGUCAAAUUGGUCCAAUUUAACUAAGGGUUAAUAACUGGGAGGCUGUUAGCUGCCUUUUUACUUUCAAGUCUUGCACAUCUUUUGAGACCAAAUUUGUGAUGCCUGGGUACGCUGUUCCGAAAUUUCGCAACAUUUUUAUGUAUUAAUCCAACACAAAUACUGUUUCUUGCUAAAAAUUCACAAUUAGUAUACCAGUAAUAUACAUUUAUCAAGAUUAAAGUCAAAUUAUUUAAUUACAUUUAUAAUCAUAAAAGCUUUGAUAAAGUAUAAAAAAAAACAAAGAGUUGUAUGUAGGCCUGGGACUUUCGGGUUUUUUCUCUUCGGGUACCCGUGGUAAUUUUCGGGCGGGUACCCGAAAAUCAUGUCACUUGAAAUAUGACUGGUGGAAAAACCCCAUAGGUGACGUCAUCAAGCCAAUGCGAUGCAAGCCAAUUUAUGAAUGAAAAUAUAGUAAGCAUGCGCAUUGCAAGCCUCCAGUGCCCCACGCAGUAUUCCAUCGAAACAAGUUUCAAUACUCUGUCACCUCGUACCAAAAUCGACCUAGAAUUCCACUUUCCUAUAUUUCAUA
Long non-coding RNA from Lytechinus pictus (painted urchin), 1289 nucleotides. RefSeq lists it as uncharacterized. The transcript is spliced from 3 exons. The record is from RefSeq and is a predicted model, not a curated record. NCBI's taxonomy places the organism in Eukaryota, Metazoa, Echinodermata, Echinoidea, Temnopleuroida, Toxopneustidae.